UACAGAGGUCCCAAGCGUUGUUCGGAUUCAUUGGGCGUAAAGCGCGCGCAGGCGGUUCGGAAAGAAAGAUGUGAAAUCCCAGAGCUUAACUUUGGAACUGCAUUUUUAACUACCGAGCUAGAGUGUGUCAGAGGGAGGUGGAAUUCCGCGUGUAGCAGUGAAAUGCGUAGAUAUGCGGAGGAACACCGAUGGCGAAGGCAGCCUCCUGGGAUAACACUGACGCUCAUGCACGAAAGCGUGGGGAGCAAACAGG
Molecule: ribosomal RNA, 253 nt
Filed under: uncultured bacterium
Lineage: Bacteria
Description: partial 16S ribosomal RNA
Rfam family: Bacterial small subunit ribosomal RNA
Source: RNAcentral